CUACGGGGGCACCAGUGGGGAAUUUUGCGCAAUGGGGGCAACCCUGACGCAGCAAUACCGCGUGAGUGAAGAAGGCCUUUGGGUCGUAAAGCUCUUUUCUAAGGGAAGAUAGUGACGGUACCUUAGGAAUAAGCACCGGCUAACUCCGUGCCAGCAGCCGCGGUAAUACGGAGGGUGCGAGCGUUGUUCGGAUUUACUGGGCGUAAAGGGCACGUAGGCGGCCUAGCAAGUUAAGGGUGAAAUCCCGGGGCUCAACUCCGGAACUGCUCUUAAAACUGCUAAGCUAGAGAUAGUCAGAGGCGGGUGGAAUUCCAGGUGUAGAGGUGAAAUUCGUAGAUAUCUGGAGGAACACCGGUGGCGAAGGCGGCCCGCUGGGGCUAUUCUGAUGCUGAGGUGCGAAAGCGUGGGGAGCGAACGGGAUUAGAUACCCGUGUAGUC
Molecule: ribosomal RNA, 438 nt
Filed under: uncultured bacterium
Lineage: Bacteria
Description: partial 16S ribosomal RNA
Rfam family: Bacterial small subunit ribosomal RNA
Source: RNAcentral